Molecule: unclassified non-coding RNA, 164 nt
Filed under: uncultured Ophiocordycipitaceae
Lineage: Eukaryota; Fungi; Ascomycota; Sordariomycetes; Hypocreales
Description: sequence contains ITS1
Source: RNAcentral
CCGAGUUACCAGCUCCCGAAACCCCCUGUGAACAUACCCGAACGUUGCCUCGGCGGGAUGGCCCCGGCGCCCACGGCGGCCCGGAACCAGGCGCCCGCCGGAGGACCCAAACUCUUGUUAUAGCGGCAUGUCUUCUGAGUCUCGCGGGGAAAACGAAUGAAUCA